RNAcentral lists this microRNA precursor (96 nucleotides) under Nicotiana sylvestris (wood tobacco). Its description in RNAcentral is "MIR6152 microRNA precursor family". It matches the Rfam family "MIR6152 microRNA precursor family". Lineage: Eukaryota; Viridiplantae; Streptophyta; Magnoliopsida; Solanales; Solanaceae. RNAcentral also lists the same sequence under 1 other name. The record is from Rfam by way of RNAcentral.
UGGACAUAUUAUUGUAUUCGACUGUAUUCACGGCGUGAAACAUGGGAUUACACUGUUUUUAAACAGAAAGUGAAUCAAUUAACAUAAUAGACUCCU